CUGACGGCUGCAACGCCGCGGUGAGUGAUGAAGGCUUUCGGAUCGUAAAGCUCUGUUGUUAGGGAAGAACAAGUGCCGGUUAAAUAGGGCGGCACCUUGACGGUACCUAACCAGAAAGCCACGGCUAACUACGUGCCAGCAGCCGCGGUAAUACGUAGGUGGCAAGCGUUGUCCGGAAUUAUUGGGCGUAAAGGGCUCGCAGGCGGUUUCUUAAGUCUGAUGUGAAAGCCCCCGGCUCAACCGGGGAGGGUCAUUGGAAACUGGGUAACUUGAGUGCGGAAGAGGAGAGUAGAAUUCCAGGUGUAGCGGUGAAAUGCGUAGAGAUGUGGAGGAACACCAGUGGCGAAGGCGACUCUCUGGUCUGUAACUGACGCUGAGGAGCGAAAAGCGUGGGGGAGCAAACAGGAUUAGAUACCCUGGUAGUCCACGCCGUAAACGGAUGAGUGCUAGGGUGUUUAGGGGGGUUUCCAGCCCUUUUAGGGCUGCGAUAACGGCAUUUAAGCACCCCGCCGGGGGGGGUACGGUCCGCAAGAGAUUAAAAAUUCAAUGGAAUUGGACGGGGGGCCGCG
Molecule: ribosomal RNA, 569 nt
Filed under: Bacillus sp. HD2
Lineage: Bacteria; Bacillati; Bacillota; Bacilli; Caryophanales; Bacillaceae
Description: bacterial SSU rRNA
Rfam family: Bacterial small subunit ribosomal RNA
Source: RNAcentral